UACGUAGGGGGCAAGCGUUGUCCGGAAUCAUUGGGCGUAAAGCGCGCGUAGGCGGCUAGAUCAGUCUGCUGUAAAAGUCAAAGGCUCAACCUUUGAAAGCCGGUGGAUACUGUCUAGCUAGAGUCCGGAAGAGGAGAGUGGAAUUCCCGGUGUAGCGGUGAAAUGCGCAGAUAUCGGGAAGAACACCCGUGGCGAAGGCGGCUCUCUGGGACGGUACUGACGCUGAGACGCGAAAGCGUGGGGAGCGAACAGG
Molecule: ribosomal RNA, 253 nt
Filed under: uncultured bacterium
Lineage: Bacteria
Description: partial 16S ribosomal RNA
Rfam family: Bacterial small subunit ribosomal RNA
Source: RNAcentral